This 401-nucleotide long non-coding RNA is filed under the name Androctonus crassicauda. The record is from RNAcentral. Lineage: Eukaryota; Metazoa; Arthropoda; Arachnida; Scorpiones; Buthidae.
ACUACCUUCAAUGUCUUGUUGUUUAUGGUUUGUGGACAUCCUGUAUGUGGUGUGUUCUGGAAGGAUUCAUUGCCAGCCUUAAAUUUGUUAAAUUGCCCUUGUACUGUCCACUCAUUUCCAUAUCCUCACUGAAUGUCUGGUCUGUUUUUCUUUCUGCUGCAUAAAUUCAUUCCCAGUUUAAAUUUGUACAGUAUACAAGGCCACUAUAAUACUGUUUGGAGUUUCCUUGUUCGACCUGCUCUCACUGACAUCCCACUUAACUGUGGUGACCACUACCAGCUAGUUACAAGAGGAAACACUAACACAUUACCUUCCUGUUAUCUCUCUCACCUUUGAAGAAAUGCUGUGGGGAGUGUGUGUGUUUGAUCAUAUGAAAAUCUGACAGAACUUUAUUGAUUGUG